Molecule: non-coding RNA, 23 nt
Filed under: Cricetulus griseus (Chinese hamster)
Lineage: Eukaryota; Metazoa; Chordata; Mammalia; Rodentia; Cricetidae
Source: RNAcentral
GGGAGAUACCAUGAUCAUGAAGG